This is an RNA transcript of Mus musculus (house mouse), 2466 nucleotides long. It is a transcript of the gene named BRCA2 and CDKN1A interacting protein, with no coding region annotated. NCBI's taxonomy places the organism in Eukaryota, Metazoa, Chordata, Mammalia, Rodentia, Muridae. The transcript has 7 exons. The record is from RefSeq and is marked validated.
GGACGGGGGCGGGACUCGCGCAGGCGCAGUGUGACCGGCGACAUGGCAUCUAAGGCUAAGAAGCGAGCGGUGGGAAAUGGAAUUCAGCGGCCGCUGGGAGCCCCGGGCCAGCGGGAGGAGGAAGAAGAAGAAGAGGAUGAGGUGGAGGAUGAGGAAGAAGACGAGGACGACAGUGACGAAGAAGAGGAUGAAGUUGACGAAAUCGUGGACGAGGAAGUGAAUAUUGAGUUUGAAGCCUAUUCCAUCUCAGAUAACGAUUAUGGCGGAAUUAAGAAAUUACUGCAACAGCUUUUUCUAAAAGCCCCCGUGAACACUGCCGAGCUGACGAAUCUCCUGAUGCAGCAGAACCACAUUGGGAGUGUGAUUAAGGUCGGUGGGGAGAGGGACACUGUGGCUGCUUUGUCCUCUUUAUCUCCUGCUGAAAGGAAGUACUGUGAGGACUGCCCAGAGGUUGCUGCAGUGGUCCAGAGGUACUGUGUGCAGGAAUUCAGGCAUCACAUGUGCGCCCACGAGUGGCCGAGGUUGACUCACACGUUUGCUAGAGCGCUGAGGUUAGCAAGCAUAGAUGGUAGGUUGAGAGGGUGGAUGGAUUACAGGGUGUGCACACUUCGCGUCUGCUGUGCUGAGCUGUGUGUGGAAGAUGCUGAGCAGCAGCUGGAGCUCUGAGUUUUCCGCAGAUGUCAGUCACUGAUAUCAGGUGUGAUCGGAAUUGCCACAGGAGAGGGAAGGACAGAUGCCCUGGUCAUGCCAGCCAUGCUUCUCUGAGCAAAAUGAGUGGCAGAGACACCAGAGGAGCUGAUAUGAAUGGCUGCAGUGAGAGGGGAAAAUGGUAUGAGUUCAUAAAAGCAAGGAAGGGCUACUUAAGGAAGCACUUGCCCAGUAAGUAGAGUUAUAGAAAAUGAGGACCCAGCACGGACUCAGCUCUGCCACCUGUCCCCUGGGGCCCUUCUGGUUUCCUGUUGUUGUAAAAGUCCCACAGCUUAGAAUUGCAACAGGCAUCUGUUUGGUUUGUGGACCUGCCAUUUGGACAGAGAUCAGAUUCACCUCAAUUCCUGCUUUGUUCUGUGAGCCAAGAAAGCUUGGCGUGGGGCAUUAUUGCAUGGGUCUCGGUCGGGACUGUUGCUGGGUCAGCUGAAGUAUGGAGAAGCUCAGAAAGAGAUGGUGGAGGACCAGGGCUGGUUCAGGAGCUACCUUUUCAUUUUCAUCUAGUUUUGUUGAACUUAAGACAUCUUUGCCAACUGGGCAGUGGUGGCUCAUUCCAUUAAUCCCAGCACUUGGGGACAGAGACAGGUGGAGCUCUGAGUUUGAAGACAACCUGGUCUACAGAGCUACUUCCAGGACAGCCAGGGCUACAAGAAACCCUAUCUCAAAGAAACAAGCAAGCAAACAAACAAACAAAGCCAACAUCUUUGCCAAAGGCUGUCGAUGAGCACUAAGAGCCCGUGGUGCUGAAGGCAGCUAUAACAGGACGCGACGGCAGAAAGACAAGCUUUGGCUUUGCAAAGUGGAAAAUUGGUGUUGUACUUCUUUCCAGCCGAAUAACGUGAAGUUGAAGUAUUUUCCUUUUAAAACAGCAAACAGAUGUUUCAGAAGACAGUGAUGAUGAAGUGGAUGAAGAUGAGAUCUUUGGCUUCAUAAGCCUUUUAAAUUUGACUGAAAGAAAGGGGACUCAGUGUGCUGAACAAAUUAAAGAGUUGGUUCUAAGCUUCUGUGAGAAGACCUGUGAGCAGAGCAUGGUUGAACAGCUGGACAAGCUUUUGAAUGACACCAGCAAGCCUGUGGGCCUUCUGCUAAGUGAAAGAUUCAUUAACGUCCCUCCACAGAUUGCCCUGCCCAUGCACCAGCAGCUCCAGAAAGAACUGUCUGAGGCGCGAAGAACCAACAAGCCAUGUGGGAAAUGCUGCUUCUACCUGCUGAUUAGUAAGACAUUUAUGGAAGCAGGAAAGUCCAGUUCCAGAAAGAGGCAGGACAGCCUUCAGCAGGGGGCACUGAUGUUUGCAAAUGCAGAGGAAGAGUUCUUCUAUGAGAAGGCAAUCUUGAAGUUCAGCUACUCGGUGCAGGGGGAGAGCGACACUCGUCUGGGAGGCAGAUGGUCCUUCGAUGAUGUUCCGAUGACGCCUUUGCGGACUGUGAUGGUAAUUCCAGACGACAGGAUGAAUGAGAUCAUGGAAACCCUGAAAGACCAUCUCUCCGUCUAGUCCAUUUCCCCCAGACAGUGACAGGCUUGUUUAUGUGUAAUUACCAAGAAACCCAUUGAAGAGAUACUGAAAAACUCAUUAUUUUAUUCAGAUUCAAGUCCUCUACAAAAAGUAGGGUUCUGUUCCAUGUGUCUGUGACACAUUUACAAAAUGAUUUUUUUCUUUAUUUUGGUCAAAUUAUGAAUGAUUGGUUAAAAACUUCCAAUAAGAAAAGCAUGGAAUAGUAAUUUUAAGAACUUAAUAAAACUAUUUUUUUAUUUUAAAAUCA